Molecule: ribosomal RNA, 486 nt
Filed under: uncultured Desulfobulbus sp.
Lineage: Bacteria; Pseudomonadati; Thermodesulfobacteriota; Desulfobulbia; Desulfobulbales; Desulfobulbaceae
Description: bacterial SSU rRNA
Rfam family: Bacterial small subunit ribosomal RNA
Source: RNAcentral
AAAGGAAGUUAGACGGGGCCCGGCACAAGCGGUGGAGUAUGUGGUUUAAUUCGAUGCAACGCGAAGAACCUUACCUGGUCUUGACAUCCCGGAGACCCUUAGGAAACUAGGGGUGCUUCCAUCUGGAAGAAUCUGGAGACAGGUGCUGCAUGGCUGUCGUCAGCUCGUGUCGUGAGAUGUUGGGUUAAGUCCCGCAACGAGCGCAACCCUUGCCUUUAGUUGCCAGCAGUUCGGCUGGGCACUCUAAAGGGACUGCCGGUGUUAAACCGGAGGAAGGUGGGGAUGACGUCAAGUCCUCAUGGCCUUUAUGACCAGGGCUACACACGUACUACAAUGGCCGAUACAAAGGGCAGCGACACUGCGAGGUGAAGCCAAUCCCGUAAAAUCGGUCUCAGUCCGGAUUGGAGUCUGCAACUCGACUCCAUGAAGUUGGAAUCGCUAGUAAUCGUGGAUCAGCAUGCCACGGUGAAUACGUUCCCGGGCCUU